AUCCAGCUGACGAGUCACAAAUAGAACGAGACGCUCGUCCUGGAU
Schistosoma margrebowiei is the source of this 45-nucleotide non-coding RNA. The record is from Rfam. NCBI's taxonomy places the organism in Eukaryota, Metazoa, Platyhelminthes, Trematoda, Strigeidida, Schistosomatidae.